UACGUAGGUGACCAGCGUUGUCCGGAUUUACUGGGCGUAAAGAGCGCGCAGGCGGUCGUUCAAGUCGAGUGUGAAAGCCCCCGGCUCAACUGGGGAGGGUCAUUCGAUACUGAUCGACUUGAAGGCAGGAGAGGGAAGCGGAAUUCCCGGUGUAGUGGUGAAAUGCGUAGAUAUCGGGAGGAACACCAGUGGCGAAGGCGGCUUCCUGGCCUGUUCUUGACGCUGAGGCGCGAAGGCCAGGGGAGCAAACGGG
This 253-nucleotide ribosomal RNA is filed under the name uncultured bacterium. RNAcentral describes it as "partial 16S ribosomal RNA". It matches the Rfam family "Bacterial small subunit ribosomal RNA", at positions 524 to 776 of the family's 1533-position model. The record is from RNAcentral.